UACAGAGGGUGCGAGCGUUAAUCGGAGUUACUGGGCGUAAAGGGCGCGUAGGCGGUAAGAUGUGUGUGAUGUGAAAGCCCCGGGCUUAACCUGGGAAGGGCAUCGCAAACUAUCUAACUGGAGUAUAUGAGAGGGUGGCGGAAUUUCCGGUGUAGCGGUGAAAUGCGUAGAGAUCGGAAGGAACGUCAAUGGCGAAGGCAGCCACCUGGCAUAAUACUGACGCUGAGGCGCGAAAGCGUGGGGAGCGAACAGG
Molecule: ribosomal RNA, 253 nt
Filed under: uncultured bacterium
Lineage: Bacteria
Description: partial 16S ribosomal RNA
Rfam family: Bacterial small subunit ribosomal RNA
Source: RNAcentral